GCAGAGUGACAGGUGGUGCAUGGUUGUCGUCAGCUCGUGUCGUGAGAUGUUGGGUUAAGUCCCGCAACGAGCGCAACCCUUGAUCUUAGUUGCCAGCAUUCAGUUGGGCACUCUAAGGUGACUGCCGGUGACAAACCGGAGGAAGGUGGGGAUGACGUCAAAUCAUCAUGCCCCUUAUGACCUGGGCUACACACGUGCUACAAUGGGCAGAACAAAGGGCAGCGAAGCCGCGAGGCUAAGCCAAUCCCACAAAUCUGUUCUCAGUUCGGAUCGCAGUCUGCAACUCGACUGCGUGAAGCUGGAAUCGCUAGUAAUCGCGGAUCAGCAUGCCGCGGUGAAUACGUUCCCGGGCCUUGUACACACCGCCCGUCACACCACGAGAG
This 383-nucleotide ribosomal RNA is filed under the name Bacillus sp. (in: firmicutes). RNAcentral describes it as "bacterial SSU rRNA". It matches the Rfam family "Bacterial small subunit ribosomal RNA", at positions 1026 to 1410 of the family's 1533-position model. The record is from RNAcentral. Lineage: Bacteria; Bacillati; Bacillota; Bacilli; Caryophanales; Bacillaceae.